UUAAAAAGUAGAAUUUACGUGGAGUAUGGGUUUUUUAAACCUUUUAUGAUAAAUAUGGCAUAAUUAACUAUGGACACUUUAUAUGGCUUUUUUAAAGUUUGGCCAUAAUUUAUGGGAUUUUAAAGCCCAUACGGCUGGAAUUUAUUUGUCAAAAGCCCAUAGUGUGUGUAUUGUAGUUUAUUUAGGUUAUUUUAGUAAUUUUAGGUGUUUAGAUUUUUUUUGGUUUAGUUUUUUUUCAACUGGUUUUUUUUAGAGGGUUUGCAUGUAAUCAUCAUGAUUUGAUGGUUGCUUCUACAUUUUAGUUUAUUUUUGCAGUUUCCAAUUCAGACAUAUUUUCCCUAAACAACCUAUACUAUUAUCUCUCUCCCUCCCUCUUUUUUUUUCAUUUCACCAUUUCUUCAUUUUCCUCUUUUUUCUUUUCCUCUUUCAUUUUCGUCCUCUGUUUUUUUUUUUUUUUUUUGCUCUCGAUUUUUGGAGGACAUUGCCGCCAUUGUUCUUCAAGUAAGAGCUACGGGUAAGAGCUUCCAUUGUUUGUGUGUUCUUCAAGGUAAGCAUGAGUUUUUUAUUUUUUUUUUCUCUCUAAUUUUAGGGUUUUUUGUUCCUUUUCAUUUUGUGGGUUUGUUGAAGUUGCAUUUGUUCUUAAUCGUUCUUACAUUCUUAUAUUUUCGUUUUUAUUUUUUUAUUUUGCAUUUUCUUGUUGAGUUAUGCUUAAUCCGAAGAGAGAGUGGGAAAAAUGAGAAUAGAAGAGAGUAGUUCCUUGAGAGAAAAUUAGGAGGAUUAAGAAAGAAACAAGGAGAAUCAUUGGAAAACAAUCUCAACCCAUUUUCUGUUUUAAGAUUAUUAGUGUGUUGUUGUUUUUCUUUUUUUUAAAAAUGUUUAAUCCGAAGUGAUUAUUGUGUUGUUGUAUUUAUUCAUAUUGGAUUAGUUAAGUAUUUUGUGUUUUGGGUUUUGUUUUAUGCUUUAGAAUUUUGUUGUUUAGUUUUUUUUUUUUUUAAUUUUUGUUAAUAUUCGGUGUUGUUGUUGUGUUUAUUUAUUUAUUUUUUUUAAAUUUGGUUGGUUUUUGGAUAUGAUUUUUGUUAGUUUUAGUGAUAAAUUUUCUUUCAUUUUUUAGAAACUGGUUUUUGGGUAUGAUUUUUUUUGAUGAUUUAGUAAUUUCGGGUUUUAGAGUCAAUGUGCUGUAAUAAAUUGUGGGUUUAUUGUGUAAUCUGAAAAGCCAUGUAAUUUCUGUUGAAAAUAUUGUAUCAAUUAUAAACUUGUAGGGAUUUUAUUUUGCAUGAAGAAAUUAUUGUUGUGUUUGAGCAGUUAUAAUCUUUGUUUUAUUUAUAGGAACUGGUUUUUGGUGUGUAUGGGUGGUUUUUAGGUUUGAGGUUUCAAAAUAAUUCUCAUAUGAAAAACCAGUUUCUAGAUCAUGAUUACAGUUUUAAAAAUAGGUUAGAAAUGAUGCAGGUGUUGUUUCGGAUCCUCGGAUUCCUAAUUUUGAAACAUGUCAAAAACAAGUUUCUGGAGUUUGAUUUAUGUUAUAGAUAUGUGUUAUUUGUGCAUUCUGUGAUAAUUUGGGUGUGUGGGUGGUUUUAAGGUUGAUGUUGCAAAAUGCUUGGAUCUUUGAAUGGGUUUCCUUUGGGCUGGAUUAUUAGUUUUAUUGUUUAGUUAAUUACUGUUGAGGAAAUUGUCGUUAUGUUUUUUUGUUUUUUUUUUUGUUGUUUUGUUUCGAUUUUGUGUGAAACUAGUUUUCGUGUUAAUUAUCAGGAUUAAUUUGUUGUUUGUGUCUAAUGUUUAUUUUGUGUUUUGUUUUUUUAUCAGAUGGAGAGUGAAUCAGCCUCAAAAGUCUCAUCUAUUGUUGAAAAGAUUGAGUAGGCUACGAAGGCUAAAGGCCGACCAAAAAAAUAUUCACGUAAAGCUAAAGAUCCUUUUGUCGAAGAAGAAAAACCUGUUGAAGUUGAAACGAGGAAAUCUCCACGUAAAUCCAAAGCCGAUAAUGUUGUGGAAGAUAUUCCCUUGAAAGCUCCAACAAGAAGAUCUCCCCGGAAACUUUAAGUAUGUAUUAAAUUUUGCUGAAUUCGGUUUAGCAUUUAUUUUAUGUUUCAUUGUUGGUUUGUAUUUUUAUUGUGUUUAAAUUUUCCAAGUAUUUUUUCCUUGAAAAUUGAUUUUUAUCCUUUAUAUGUUUGUUAUUAGAUUUGAGUAUGUUAUAUAAAACUGGUUUUUUUUUUUUUUUAAUUUGUUCUGUUUUGUUUAUGUUUAUUUUUUCAGGUUGAUAAUCAACAACUCCUGUACCUUAAAAUGUUAAAAAAAGAAAGAAAGUUCAGGGCUUUUAUGGGGAGAAAGACUGACCCAGACUUCAAGUAACUAGUUACUGCAAUUCGUCUUUGUACUAUUGUAUAUACUAUACAUGUGGGAU
Molecule: long non-coding RNA, 2395 nt
Organism: Cannabis sativa
Lineage: Eukaryota; Viridiplantae; Streptophyta; Magnoliopsida; Rosales; Cannabaceae
Exons: 3
Source: RefSeq, a predicted model, not a curated record